RNAcentral lists this ribosomal RNA (274 nucleotides) under uncultured bacterium. RNAcentral describes it as "partial 16S ribosomal RNA". It matches the Rfam family "Bacterial small subunit ribosomal RNA", at positions 523 to 796 of the family's 1533-position model. The record is from RNAcentral.
AUACGGAGGGUGCAAGCGUUAAUCGGAAUUACUGGGCGUAAAGCGUACGUAGGCGGUUCGUUAAGUUAGAUGUGAAAGCCCCGGGCUUAACCUGGGAACUGCAUUUAAAACUGGCGAAAUAGAGUUGAGUAGAGGGGAGUGGAAUUUCAGGUGUAGCGGUGAAAUGCGUAGAGAUCUGAAGGAACACCAGUGGCGAAGGCGACUCCCUGGACUCAAACUGACGCUGAGGUACGAAAGCGUGGGUAGCAAACGGGAUUAGAAACCCUAGUAGUCC